UACAGAGGUCUCAAGCGUUGUUCGGAUUCAUUGGGCGUAAAGCGUGCGUAGGCGGUGUUCUAAGUCUGUUGUGAAAUCUCCCGGCUUAACCGGGAGGGUGCGGCGGAAACUGGAACGCUGGAGUGCGGGAGAGGUAAGCGGAAUUCCUGGUGUAGCGGUGAAAUGCGUAGAUAUCUGGAGGAACACCGGUGGCGAAGGCGGCAUCCUGGACCAAGACUGACACUGAAAAGCGAAAGCCAGGGGAGCAAACGGG
Molecule: ribosomal RNA, 253 nt
Filed under: uncultured bacterium
Lineage: Bacteria
Description: partial 16S ribosomal RNA
Rfam family: Bacterial small subunit ribosomal RNA
Source: RNAcentral